GACGAACGCUGGCGGCGUGCUUAACACAUGCAAGUCGAACGGAAAGGCCCUGCUUUUGUGGGGUGCUCGAGUGGCGAACGGGUGAGUAACACGUGAGUAACCUGCCCUUGACUUUGGGAUAACUUCAGGAAACUGGGGCUAAUACCGGAUAGGAGCUCCUGCUGCAUGGUGGGGGUUGGAAAGUUUCGGCGGUUGGGGAUGGACUCGCGGCUUAUCAGCUUGUUGGUGGGGUAGUGGCUUACCAAGGCUUUGACGGGUAGCCGGCCUGAGAGGGUGACCGGCCACAUUGGGACUGAGAUACGGCCCAGACUCCUACGGGAGGCAGCAGUGGGGAAUAUUGCACAAUGGGCGGAAGCCUGAUGCAGCAACGCCGCGUGCGGGAUGACGGCCUUCGGGUUGUAAACCGCUUUCGCCUGUGACGAAGCGUGAGUGACGGUAAUGGGUAAAGAAGCACCGGCUAACUACGUGCCAGCAGCCGCGGUGAUACGUAGGGUGCGAGCGUUGUCCGGAUUUAUUGGGCGUAAAGGGCUCGUAGGUGGUUGAUCGCGUCGGAAGUGUAAUCUUGGGGCUUAACCCUGAGCGUGCUUUCGAUACGGGCUGACUUGAGGAAGGUAGGGGAGAAUGGAAUUCCUGGUGGAGCGGUGGAAUGCGCAGAUAUCAGGAGGAACACCAGUGGCGAAGGCGGUUCUCUGGGCCUUUCCUGACGCUGAGGAGCGAAAGCGUGGGGAGCGAACAGGCUUAGAUACCCUGGUAGUCCACGCUGUAAACGGUGGGUACUAGGUGUGGGGUCCAUUCCACGGGUUCCGUGCCGUAGCUAACGCUUUAAGUACCCCGCCUGGGGAGUACGGCCGCAAGGCUAAAACUCAAAGGAAUUGACGGGGCCCCGCACAAGCGGCGGAGCAUGCGGAUUAAUUCGAUGCAACGCGUAGAACCUUACCUGGGUUUGACAUGGAUCGGGAGUGCUCAGAGAUGGGUGUGCCUCUUUUGGGGUCGGUUCACAGGUGGUGCAUGCCUGUCGUCAGCUCGUGUCGUGAGAUGUUGGGUUAAGUCCCGCAACGAGCGCAACCCUUGUUCACUGUUGCCAGCACGUUAUGGUGGGGACUCAGUGGAGACCGCCGGGGUCAACUCGGAGGAAGGUGGGGAUGACGUCAAGUCCUCAUGCCCCUUAUGUCCAGGGCUUCACGCAUGCUACAAUGGCUGGUACAGAGAGUGGCGAGCCUGUGAGGGGUGAGCGAAUCUCGGAAAGCCGGCCUCAGUUCGGAUUGGGGUCUGCAACUCGACCUCAUGAAGUCGGAGUCGCUAGUAAUCGCAGAUCAGCAACGCUGCGGUGAAUACGUUCCCGGG
Molecule: ribosomal RNA, 1344 nt
Filed under: uncultured bacterium
Lineage: Bacteria
Description: 16S ribosomal RNA
Rfam family: Bacterial small subunit ribosomal RNA
Source: RNAcentral